UGAGUUUUGCUCUAAUGAUCAUCUGCUCAUGAUCUCUGCUCUCUAUCUCUUUCUGAGCACAUGAUCUGAAAAUGUAUUAGUUCGUUGUCCUUAUGAUAUAGUUUGGUCUUUUUAUGUGUGCAGGCAAGUGAAACAGAUAACAUCACGUAUGAAGAGGCAGUUCAACUGAACAAGUUUGAUUAUAGACUUUCAAACAAGUUGAGCGAUGACUUCAAAAGCUAAGAUGUAGAGUAAACUACCAUGUUCUCAAGUUCACUGUUUUUUUUUUGGAAAUCAUUAGUUCUUUUGCUUACUGUUUUUUCUUCUUGUAAUGAAACUAAAAGACAACAUAAGUAUCUAUCAAUAAUCUGCAUAUUUUAUAAUGUCU
Raphanus sativus (radish) is the source of this 367-nucleotide long non-coding RNA. RefSeq lists it as uncharacterized. The record is from RefSeq and is a predicted model, not a curated record. Lineage: Eukaryota; Viridiplantae; Streptophyta; Magnoliopsida; Brassicales; Brassicaceae. The transcript is spliced from 2 exons.